Molecule: ribosomal RNA, 253 nt
Filed under: uncultured Lactobacillus sp.
Lineage: Bacteria; Bacillati; Bacillota; Bacilli; Lactobacillales; Lactobacillaceae
Description: partial 16S ribosomal RNA
Rfam family: Bacterial small subunit ribosomal RNA
Source: RNAcentral
UACGGAGGGCGCGAGCGUUAAUCGGAAUUACUGGGCGUAAAGGGAACGCAGGCGGUCUUUUAAGUCUGAUGUGAAAGCCUUCGGCUUAACCGGAGUAGUGCAUUGGAAACUGGGAGACUUGAGUGCAGAAGAGGAGAGUGGAACUCCAUGUGUAGCGGUGAAAUGCGUAGAUAUAUGGAAGAACACCAGUGGCGAAAGCGGCUCUCUGGUCUGUAACUGACGCUGAGGUUCGAAAGCGUGGGUAGCAAACAGG